This is a long non-coding RNA of Chinchilla lanigera (long-tailed chinchilla), 721 nucleotides long. RefSeq lists it as uncharacterized. The transcript has 2 exons. The record is from RefSeq and is a predicted model, not a curated record. Lineage: Eukaryota; Metazoa; Chordata; Mammalia; Rodentia; Chinchillidae.
GUCCUGCCCUUCCGGGGCUCAGCAGGAAGCUGCUGCUUUGGCCUUGGCCGCAGAGGUCCCCGUCUUGCUGGCUUCUUCACUCUCUAACCCUCCACUGCACCUCCUCCUCCCCUGGGUCUACGGGCCCUCCGGUGAGAUUCCCUUCUACUGAGGAGCAAAGGCCGGUGAGGAGGACAGGACUUUUGGCAGCAAAUGGGAACUGAAGCGAGGAAAGCAUGCUGCAGAAAAGUGAGAAAAAGACAGGAGGGCGGAGGGUGGAGCCCAGAGCCGCCCUUCCCUCGGAGCAGCUCGGCAGCACCAAGCCCCACCCCUGCCUAAGGGUGUGCAAUUACAGUGCUGGUGGCUGUUCCAGGCACGGUGAGUGUUGGCGCUCUUGGCAGAGUGCUCAGCAGCGCGGCACAUAAUCCCUCCGUUGUUCACUUACGGCAAGCGCGCAGAAAGGACCUCCGGGUAGCAUCCCAAUUUACCUUCUGGAUUGACUUUUCUUCCGUGAGUGCUGUCAACAUGUCACUUUAUGCUGUACCAUGAAGCAGACUUUCUGGUACCUGAUGGCUGUAAAUCCGUGGAGGUGUCUAGAGAUGUUUUCCAGAGCAAGGGUCAGAGUUCCUUUUGUUAAUUCUCCCUGGCCUGCUUCCAAGCUGCUGGGUGUGCUACCCUACACUUGACUACCCAGGAUAUCAAUCAGAAUUGUUUGCUUAAGAAAAAUACCUGAGAAUUGUCA